GCGGAAGUAGUUCCAGCCCCGGCCAAGCACCAUGUGCCCCUCGAAGUUCUGGACCUGCACCCAGAACACGCACUGCUUGUUCGUCGACAGCCUGACCAUGCACGGGAGCCGCUUGAUGACCAGCCAGGUGUUCAUCACCUCCACGAACUUGGGAGGGACGAUGAGCAUGGCGAGGUCCUCGUUGUCCUUGAUCUGCUGGUAGAAGCGCAUCGGCUCCCUGGCCCCCUCCUCGUGGCCCUGCCUCGGAGAUCGUCCCCUUGAACGAGGCACGCUC
RNAcentral lists this ribosomal RNA (274 nucleotides) under Triticum aestivum (bread wheat). Its description in RNAcentral is "partial small subunit ribosomal RNA". Lineage: Eukaryota; Viridiplantae; Streptophyta; Magnoliopsida; Poales; Poaceae. The record is from RNAcentral.